CAAGUGAGUGGCGAACGGGUGAGUAACACGUGGACAACCUGCCUCAAGGCUGGGGAUAACAUUUGGAAACAGAUGCUAAUACCGAAUAAAACUUAGUGUCGCAUGACAAAAAGUUAAAAGGCGCUUCGGCGUCACCUAGAGAUGGAUCCGCGGUGCAUUAGUUAGUUGGUGGGGUAAAGGCCUACCAAGACAAUGAUGCAUAGCCGAGUUGAGAGACUGAUCGGCCACAUUGGGACUGAGACACGGCCCAAACUCCUACGGGAGGCUGCAGUAGGGAAUCUUCCACAAUGGGCGAAAGCCUGAUGGAGCAACGCCGCGUGUGUGAUGAAGGCUUUCGGGUCGUAAAGCACUGUUGUAUGGGAAGAACAGCUAGAAUAGGAAAUGAUUUUAGUUUGACGGUACCAUACCAGAAAGGGACGGCUAAAUACGUGCCAGCAGCCGCGGUAAUACGUAUGUCCCGAGCGUUAUCCGGAUUUAUUGGGCGUAAAGCGAGCGCAGACGGUUUAUUAAGUCUGAUGUGAAAGCCCGGAGCUCAACUCCGGAAUGGCAUUGGAAACUGGUUAACUUGAGUGCAGUAGAGGUAAGUGGAACUCCAUGUGUAGCGGUGGAAUGCGUAGAUAUAUGGAAGAACACCAGUGGCGAA
This 643-nucleotide ribosomal RNA is filed under the name Leuconostoc mesenteroides. RNAcentral describes it as "bacterial SSU rRNA". It matches the Rfam family "Bacterial small subunit ribosomal RNA", at positions 88 to 719 of the family's 1533-position model. Lineage: Bacteria; Bacillati; Bacillota; Bacilli; Lactobacillales; Lactobacillaceae. The record is from RNAcentral.